AAAAAUUGUAAUUUUAUACCGUCCAAUCUAACAUUUGACCAUUUUAUCUUAUUUAAAUUAUUUUAUGAUUAUUAUUUUUUUAUUAUUAAAUGAUAAAAUAUGAACCGUACUUUAUGUGUGACUAAUUUUUAAUUUUUUAUAUCUUUUUAAAUAAGACGAACCGUCAAACGUUGUGCACAGAUAGUUACGGCUGUAUUUAUU
This is a non-coding RNA of Oryza nivara, 201 nucleotides long. The record is from Rfam. NCBI's taxonomy places the organism in Eukaryota, Viridiplantae, Streptophyta, Magnoliopsida, Poales, Poaceae.